GGGAGAGGACAGCCCAUCUCUUCACUCAACCAUGGCUUUCUCAUGAUAGAUGAGAAGUAGUACUUCUAUAUUUUCCCCAUUGGUUUUCUCUCUCUGUAAACUUUGAGCCAACCACAAACUUAGACAAAGGCUGAAAACACAGCACAAAGGCCUGACUUUCCCAAACCAUUUCAGAACUUGACUCUACUGAAGGCUCCAGGGCAGUUACUCUGGAGAACCUCCCUGAUGUGGGUAUGUCUGAUCCUCCCUGAAGAUUAGAUUCAGGUUAGGCAUCUUUGGCAGGAACAUCACAGAA
Non-coding RNA from Callorhinus ursinus (northern fur seal), 295 nucleotides. The record is from RefSeq and is a predicted model, not a curated record. Lineage: Eukaryota; Metazoa; Chordata; Mammalia; Carnivora; Otariidae.